CGUCAGCUCGUGCCCGUGAGGUGUUGGGUUAAGUCCCGCAACGAGCGCAACCCCGCCGUAGUUGCCAGCGGUUCGGCCGGGCGACUCUAACGGGACUGCCCGCGAAAGCGGGAGGAAGAGGGGACGACGUCUGGUCAGCAUGGCCCUUACGGCCUGGGCGACACACGUGCUACAAUGCCCACUACAAAGCGAUGCCACCCGGCAACGGGGAGCUAAUCGCAAAAAGGUGGGCCCAGUUCGGAUUGGGGGUCUGCAACCCGACCCCAUGAAGCCGGAAUCGCUAGUAAUCGCGGAUCAGCACGCCGCGGUGAAUACGUUCCCGGGCCUU
RNAcentral lists this ribosomal RNA (328 nucleotides) under uncultured Thermus sp. Its description in RNAcentral is "bacterial SSU rRNA". It matches the Rfam family "Bacterial small subunit ribosomal RNA", at positions 1053 to 1382 of the family's 1533-position model. Lineage: Bacteria; Thermotogati; Deinococcota; Deinococci; Thermales; Thermaceae. The record is from RNAcentral.